AGCGAACGCUGGCGGCAGGCUUAACACAUGCAAGUCGAGCGGGCACUUUCGGGUGUCCGCGGCGGACGGGUGAGUAACGCGUGGGAACGUGCCCUCUGGUUCGGAAUAACUCAGGGAAACUUGAGCUAAUACCGGAUACGCCCUUUUGGGGAAAGGCUUGCUGCCGGAGGAUCGGCCCGCGUCUGAUUAGCUAGUUGGUGAGGUAACGGCUCACCAAGGCGACGAUAAGUAGCUGGUCUGAGAGGAUGAUCAGCCACACUGGGACUGAGACACGGCCCAGACUCCUACGGGAGGCAGCAGUGGGGAAUAUUGGACAAUGGGCGCAAGCCUGAUCCAGCCAUGCCGCGUGAGUGAUGAAGGCCUUAGGGUUGUAAAGCUCUUUUAUCCGGGACGAUAAUGACGGUACCGGAGGAAUAAGCCCCGGCUAACUUCGUG
This 435-nucleotide ribosomal RNA is filed under the name uncultured bacterium. RNAcentral's name for it is "partial 16S ribosomal RNA". It matches the Rfam family "Bacterial small subunit ribosomal RNA", at positions 29 to 507 of the family's 1533-position model. The record is from RNAcentral.